Molecule: ribosomal RNA, 591 nt
Filed under: uncultured bacterium
Lineage: Bacteria
Description: partial 16S ribosomal RNA
Rfam family: Bacterial small subunit ribosomal RNA
Source: RNAcentral
UGGGGAAUUUUGGACAAUGGGCGCAAGCCUGAUCCAGCCAUGCCGCGUGCGGGAAGAAGGCCUUCGGGUUGUAAACCGCUUUUGUCAGGGAAGAAAUCUUCUGAGUUAAUACCUCGGGAGGAUGACGGUACCUGAAGAAUAAGCACCGGCUAACUACGUGCCAGCAGCCGCGGUAAUACGUAGGGUGCAAGCGUUAAUCGGAAUUACUGGGCGUAAAGCGUGCGCAGGCGGUUUUGUAAGACAGAGGUGAAAUCCCCGGGCUCAACCUGGGAACUGCCUUUGUGACUGCAAGGCUUGAGUGCGGCAGAGGGGGAUGGAAUUCCGCGUGUAGCAGUGAAAUGCGUAAAUAUGCGGAGGAACACCGAUGGCGAAGGCAAUCCCCUGGGCCUGCACUGACGCUCAUGCACGAAAAGCGUGGGGGAGCAAAACAGGAUUAGAUACCCCUGGUAGUCCACGCCCUAAAGCGAUGUCAACUGGUUGUUGGGAAGGUUCCUUCUCAGUAAACGUAGCUAACGCGUGAAGUUGACCGCCUGGGGAGUACGGCCGCAAGGUUGAAGCUUAAAGGAAUUGACGGGGUCAUAGCUGUUUCCU